UACGUAGGGUGCGAGCGUUAAUCGGAAUUACUGGGCGUAAAGCGUGCGCAGGCGGUUUUGUAAGUCUGUCGUGAAAUCCCCGGGCUUAACCUGGGAAUUGCGGUGGAGACUGCAAGGCUAGAAUCUGGCAGAGGGGGGUAGAAUUCCACGUGUAGCAGUGAAAUGCGUAGAGAUGUGGAGGAACACCGAUGGCGAAGGCAGCCCCCUGGGUCAAGAUUGACGCUCAUGCACGAAAGCGUGGGGAGCAAACAGG
RNAcentral lists this ribosomal RNA (253 nucleotides) under uncultured bacterium. RNAcentral's name for it is "partial 16S ribosomal RNA". It matches the Rfam family "Bacterial small subunit ribosomal RNA", at positions 524 to 776 of the family's 1533-position model. The record is from RNAcentral.